Molecule: ribosomal RNA, 2408 nt
Filed under: Kudoa yasunagai
Lineage: Eukaryota; Metazoa; Cnidaria; Myxozoa; Multivalvulida; Kudoidae
Description: eukaryotic LSU rRNA
Rfam family: Eukaryotic large subunit ribosomal RNA
Source: RNAcentral
UGGACCUCAACUCAGGCAAGACUACCUGCUGAACUUAAGCAUAUCAGUAAGCAGAGGAAAAGAAAACAACUGUGAUUCCCUUAGUAACUGCGAGUGAAGCGGGAAAAGCCCAUCGUUUAAUCUCCUCGUCCGCAGUGGCGGGGCGAAAUGUAACGGUAUGGAUAGGUUCUCUACCAACAAAGUCUGAUCAAAGUCCUCCGGAUUGAGGUGCCAAAGAGGGUGACAGCCCCGUGUGUGAUUGGACUGAGUUGGGCAUGUGGCCGAUUCCGAGAGUCGGGUUGUUUGGGACUGCAACCUAAAGCAGGUGGUAAACUCCACCCAAGGCUAAAUAUUGACACGAAACCGAUAGCGAACAAGUACUGUGAAGGAAAGUUGAAAAGAACUCUGAAAAGAGAGUUAAAAGUACGUGAAACCGCUAACGGGGAAGCGGAAGGCAGUGUCGAGAUCGAGUGAGUGAGUCUGCUCAAGAGCAAUUUUGAGUGGGCUAGCUUUGCUUGAUGCGUCAGGGCCGUUGGUGUGCGAUGGUUCAAUGGUCGGCAUGGCUUUCACAGCAAAUUUUUGUUUGUGGAUGCGGCUGGCUAUCCGCCUCGUGUGCUGACGUGCGAGUGAGGAGCGUUGGUGAUGUAUUGUCGGUUGGUGCGGUGUGGUGGUUCGCACUGGUCACAGCGUGGCUACGUGCGGACAAGUCAUGUGGUAGUUCAACAACCAAUGCUAGUUCCUGGCGUGAUACCCAACUUUCCGACCCGUCUUGAAACACGGACCAAGGAGGCAGAAUCUAGAGCGAGUUGGAGGGUGGAAAACCCGACGGCGCAGUGAAAGCGAGAGAUGAGACCCAGCGGCCUCGGCUGUUGGGGCAUCAUCGGCCAGUCAGUUGUGAUUGAGUUUGAGCUGUAGAUGCUGGACCCGAAAGAUGGUGAACUAUGCGUGAGCAGGGCGAAGCCAGAGGAAACUCUGGUGGAGGCUCGAAGCGAUUCUGACGUGCAAAUCGAUCGUUAGACUUGCGUAUAGGGGCGAUAGACUAAUCGAACCAUCUAGUAGCUGGUUCCCUUCGAAAUAUCCCUCAGGAUCGCUGAGACAAGUGGGAGACAGUUUCAUCGGGUAGAGCGAAUGAUUAGAGGAAUCGGGGAUAUAUUACUCUCGACCUAUUCUCAAACUUCCAACCGGUGAGAGUGCUGUUUGCUUGUGUGAAAUAGUACGUGGAAUGUUUUUGUCUCAAGUGGGCCAUUUUUGGUAAGCAGAACUGGCGAUGCGGGAUGAACCGAGAGUUGAGCUAAGGUGCCUAAGGACACGUUGAUAGAUACCACAAAAGGAGUCGGUCGAUAAAGACAGCAGGGCGGUGGCCCUGAAAGUAGGAAUCCGCUAAGGAAUUGUCUAAAAACUCACCUGCCGAAUCGACCGGCCCUGAAAAUGGAUGGCGCUGAAGCGUGUCACCGAUGCUCGACCUCUACAACGAGAGAUGAUUGUAGGGGGUAGAAGGGCGCGGCGGUGGCGACAAAGUACAAAGUGUAAACUUGUAUGGAGCCGCCGUCGGUGUAGAUCUUGGUGGUAGUAGCAAUUAUAAAAGUGAAAACCUUUUAGGCCGAAGUGGAGAAGGGUUCCACGUGAACAGCAGUUGGACGUGGGUUAGUCGGUCCUAAGCGGUAGCCUAACGGUAAUUCCAAAGCCAACUUGUCAGUUUCGAUUGACCGAGUUGGAAUCCGCGAAAGGGAAUCAGGUUAAUAUUCCUGAACCGGGCUAUGGAGACGCUGCCUUUUGUGUUGUCUGGGGGUUCGCUCUCAGGCAGUGCUGGGGUAGCUUAGCGGUAACGCAAGCAAUCUCGGAGACGUUGACAUCUAUGGCGGGGAGAAUUAUCUUUUCUGCAUAACAGGUAAACCACCUUGGAAUCGAGUCGUUCGGAGAUAAGGUAGAAAGCCUGGAAGAGCACCGCAACUUUUGCAGUGUCCGCAGUGUAGGUGUCGGCCCUUGAAAAUCCGAGGGAGUGGAUAAAUUUCAUGCCCGUCCGUACCGAAUCCGCAUCAGGUCUCCUAGGUGAGCAGCCUCUGGCACUGGAACAAUGUAGGUAAGGGAAGUCGGCAAAAUAGAUCCGUAACUUUGGGAAAAGGAUUGGCUCUAAGGGCCGGGCCAAUCGAGCUAGUAUUACCUAGGCUCGUGGGGGUUUGACUGGGUGGCCCAUCAAAUUCGCCCAAAAAGUUUGUUUGGGGGUUUGCUUGGUCGAGUCAACGCUGGCCAUGGAAUGCCGGCGUGAGUUUCCAGCAAGCCGAGUUGCCGCAAGGUGGCUCGGUCGAUGGGGCUCUUUACGGGUGGCAAGCAUCGGUCGACUUAGAACUGUUACCAACUUGGGGAAUCCGACUGUUUAAUUAAAACAAAGCAUUGCGAUGGCCCUAAUGGGUGUUGACGCAAUGUGAUUU